GCUCACCUACGGGGGGCAGCAGUGGGGAAUAUUGGGCAAUGGGCGCAAGCCUGACCCAGCAACGCCGCGUGAAGGAAGAAGGCUUUCGGGUUGUAAACUUCUUUUAUCAGGGACGAAGCAAGUGACGGUACCUGAUGAAUAAGCCACGGCUAACUACGUGCCAGCAGCCGCGGUAAUACGUAGGUGGCAAGCGUUAUCCGGAUUUACUGGGUGUAAAGGGCGUGUAGGCGGGAGUGCAAGUCAGAUGUGAAAACUAUG
This 258-nucleotide ribosomal RNA is filed under the name uncultured bacterium. Its description in RNAcentral is "partial 16S ribosomal RNA". It matches the Rfam family "Bacterial small subunit ribosomal RNA", at positions 333 to 605 of the family's 1533-position model. The record is from RNAcentral.